AACCAAUAAAAUCAAUCAUCUUCAGUUUUGAAAGACUUAGGAUAACUAAGUUUUUCUUCGUGACUUCACGAAGGGCCUAUAGCUCAGUUGGUUAGAGCACACGCCUGAUAAGCGUGAGGUCGGUGGUUCAAGUCCAUUUAGGCCCACCAGAGUUAUAGGUGUCGUAAGAACACAAAUUCUUUGAAAAU
This 188-nucleotide unclassified non-coding RNA is filed under the name Desert rose witches'-broom phytoplasma. The stretch from base 73 to 146 matches the Rfam family "tRNA". Lineage: Bacteria; Bacillati; Mycoplasmatota; Mollicutes; Acholeplasmatales; Acholeplasmataceae. The record is from RNAcentral.